RNAcentral lists this ribosomal RNA (434 nucleotides) under uncultured bacterium. Its description in RNAcentral is "partial 16S ribosomal RNA". It matches the Rfam family "Bacterial small subunit ribosomal RNA", at positions 29 to 506 of the family's 1533-position model. The record is from RNAcentral.
AGCGAACGCUGGCGGCAGGCUUAACACAUGCAAGUCGAGCGGGCACUUUCGGGUGUCAGCGGCGGACGGGUGAGUAACGCGUGGGAACGUGCCCUCUGGUUCGGAAUAACUCAGGGAAACUUGAGCUAAUACCGGAUACGCCCUUUUGGGGAAAGGCUUGCUGCCGGAGGAUCGGCCCGCGUCUGAUUAGCUAGUUGGUGAGGUAACGGCUCACCAAGGCGACGAUCAGUAGCUGGUCUGAGAGGAUGAUCAGCCACACUGGGACUGAGACACGGCCCAGACUCCUACGGGAGGCAGCAGUGGGGAAUAUUGGACAAUGGGCGCAAGCCUGAUCCGGCCAUGCCGCGUGAGUGAUGAAGGCCUUAGGGUUGUAAAGCUCUUUUAUCCGGGACGAUAAUGACGGUACCGGAGGAAUAAGCCCCGGCUAACUUCGU